GACGAACGCUGGCGGCGUGCUUAACACAUGCAAGUCGAACGGAAAGGCCCUGCUUGCAGGGUACUCGAGUGGCGAACGGGUGAGUAACACGUGGGUGAUCUGCUCUGCACUUCGGGAUAAGCCUGGGAAACUGGGUCUAAUACCGGAUAGGAGCCAUUUUUAGUGUGAUGGUUGGAAAGUUUUUUCGGUGUAGGAUGAGCUCGCGGCCUAUCAGCUUGUUGGUGGUGUAAUGGCCUACCAAGGCGGCGACGGGUAGCCGGCCUGAGAGGGUGGACGGCCACAUUGGGACUGAGAUACGGCCCAGACUCCUACGGGAGGCAGCAGGGGGGAAUAUUGCACAAGGGGCGCAAGCCUGAUGCAGCGACGCCGCGGGGGGGAUGACGGCCUUCGGGUUGUAAACUCCUUUCGCUAGGGACGAAGCUUUUUGUGACGGUACCUAGAUAAGAAGCACCGGCUAACUACGUG
This 465-nucleotide ribosomal RNA is filed under the name uncultured bacterium. RNAcentral describes it as "partial 16S ribosomal RNA". It matches the Rfam family "Bacterial small subunit ribosomal RNA", at positions 28 to 507 of the family's 1533-position model. The record is from RNAcentral.